AUGAAAUGCAAGGGUGCUCUUCUUAGAGGCCCGACCUAUUACAUUUCCACACCGUGCACACACUUCUUUUCACAUCAUUUUAAACACAAGUACUAUGAAUGUAACAAAGUCUCGUAAUAGAGCAUAAAAGUUAAUA
Molecule: unclassified non-coding RNA, 136 nt
Filed under: uncultured fungus
Lineage: Eukaryota; Fungi
Description: sequence contains ITS1, 5.8S rRNA gene
Source: RNAcentral